CCUCUGAGUCCUCGUUCCGCCUGAAAGGAGACUGAGGCCCUUUAGUUUCCUUCCCGCUCAGCACAGUUCUCCUCUGCUUGUUCAGAGCCAGAGCCAAUGGAGGCGGAGACUGGGAAUCAGCAUAGUCUCCGUGCAGUGCACAGAGGCACUGUCUGGAGGUGCCGACCUUGAGAACAGAACUUUGUCCCUCUUGGGUCCCUGUAAUGCAGGGCACACCUGGGACCUAUUUGGGACUUUGCAGGGACAGCUGCCGGUACCUGACAGGCCCGGAGCCUCCGGAUCAUCUGCAGGCCCAUUUGGAUGGCCCUGUUGGGGAGAGGCAGGAGGUGCAGCUGGAGGAGGUAGAGGAAGGACAGACAGCUCGUCUGCACGGAAGGAGGCAGCGCGGAUGUUUGCAGCGACAGAUGGCAGCAUCCGGCAGAGCCCUGGAAGCCGGGUGAGGAGAGGAGGGGAGGCCGGCCAGACUCCUCUGCAGCUCUCAGGCCUCCCGCACAAGCUCAGCCUGCCUGGCACACACGUGGAGAUUCUCCCCUCCCUGUGUGGCGCUAAGGCACCUUGGUGAGCUCCUCAUGGUCCACAUGGGCUGCGAGUGUGUGGGAUGGCCUGGGGCGACUGGAGAAGUCUGUUCACCUGGCCCUUUGGGAGCCAAGUGGAGGAGGCUCCAGAUCAGCCCCAGAAACCCUGUUCGCUGUUCUCAGUGAGGGCGUCUGCCACGAGACUGGGGCCAGAGGGGCCAUGUAGGGAUGAGGAGUGGCGGUGACUGGGAGGUGAGGAUGGCCAGAAAGUGCUAGUCUCCCAUCAUCCCUCUGUCUUGGUGAACUCCGCUGUAUCUUAGAAUCCUGCUUGACCCGGCUCUUCAGGAAGCUGCCCUGGCAGGCCGGGCUGAGCCUGAAGAUGCCUGGCCUGGCUCUGUGGCCUCUGUGAGCCCCGGCCCCUCCUGGCCUCAGUUCUAGCUGGAGGAAACAGGACUCCCUCCUCAUCCUGGGAAGGCGGUCUCUUCCUCUCAGCGGGACUUUGAAGAGGCCGUGAAGAACCCACAGGGCCCUGCAGCAGUGGAACCAGACACCCAGAUUCACCACCCUGGAGUCGUUCCCAGCCUAGCACAGAGCCUGGGAAACAGAUGGAGAAAGCGUAGGGUGGGAGGGCCCAACAUCCUGGGCGGCUGGGGAAAUGACAGCAGCCGGGAUCCCAGCACUUAGCAUGGGUCAGUUAACAAUGCAUCCGGCCCCACCCAGCCUGUGAGGAGCCCCUUCUGUUCCUCACGCUCACACACCUGAAACUGACUCUCUGCUGGGCUCACUUGUCCACACUGCUGCUACUACCACCGCCACAGGGCCAGGAUUAGACCCCAGACAACCUGGACCGGAAGUCCACACUCCCAUCCACGGAACUACAAAACAAAAUGAAAACCAUCUCUCCCUCUGGCAGGGAUGACGGAUAAUAGGUUUGAUGCCAUCAAGUGCUGCUGAGGUCACCUCACCACCACCACCACCACGGGGAGCCCACGUCUGAUUACCUAGGGAGCCCCAAGAGUUCGGGUCAGAGUGGAGCGAACAGCUCUUUCAUCUCAUCUGCGUUUAGGUUGCCAUGCAGGAAAGAGUCGUGCAUUGCUUUGGUUUGUAACUCAUUUAAAAGGAGAAUGGGGGCAGUGAUACAGGGACAGCAUGUGCGAGGCCCGAGUUGCAUCCUUAGCCCAUCCCCCAAACAGAUGGGGGAGUAUGUUGGGGAAAGGGAAUCAAAGAUGGACAGAAUGGAAGGCUCUCAGACAGUUGUCCCUGACCGUGACCUCCUGCAGGCUUUGUCUGGGCGAGGCCUGUUCUUUUAUUGGGCACAUAUGUAUUUUCUGGGGGCCCCUAGGUCCUCGGCUCUGUGCCGGGCUGUGUGCUCUCCCCAGGCACACCCAGGGUGUGUCCCGACAGAGGGGCUCCCCUUCUGUCCCUGUCUGGGCGCUCUGUGGUAACAAGGUCAGGGCUGCAGGGAGGAGCCAGUUCUGGCCAGAGCUCUGAUCUGUGACGGGCUGUUCCCCGGAGCAGCUGCUACAACAACAUUUACUUUGUACAGUGGCCAAGAGAGAGAGCAAGAAAAGGAAGAGAGAGAGAGAGAGAGAGAGAGAGAGAGAGAGAGAGAGAGAGAGAGACAGAGGGAGAGAGCACACAAGCCUACUCUAUUGCAAAAUGUUUCUGACAAAAUCUGGCACUCCUGGUUCUAAUCAAAAUACUGAACUUUGGAACAAAUUAACAUUCCACAGCCCUCACUGGGAAGGAGAAUUCAGCCGAGACGACUUCAGUUCACAACAACAAAAAUAGCUUCUCCCGGGGAAGACACAUUCUGCUAACAAGGUCACUUGUGUUUUGCUUCCCCUGCCAUCUGGCUGAGCGGCAACCAGGGGCUGGCACUGGUACCAGCGUCUUGUGUGGAGAGGGGCUGGGAACCGGGUGGUGCCGCUGAAGGCUUCUCAGCCUCCUGGCAAAGGGUGUAGGCGUGGAGUUACCUUCAGACAGUCCCAGAACUGGGGCAGAUGGAGCCCAGUCUCACCCAGCCGGGCUCAGCUUCGAGCUCCGAGCAGCAGGAGGUGUGACACCAGCACACAGCAACAAGCAGAUCUGGAGGCCAGAAGUGUGAAAUCAAGAUGUUGUCAGGGCUCUGUUCCUUCUGAGACCUUCUGAGACCUUCUUUGCCUCCUCCCAUUUUCUGGCACACCAGUCAUAUUGGAUUAAAGGCCCAAGACUCCAUUCUGACCUCAUCUUGGCUAAUUGCAUCUCCAUGACCCUAUUUCCAAAUAAGGUCACAAUCUCAGGUACUGUGAAUUGGGACUUCAGCAUCUUUUUGCAGGGUUGGUGAGGGACAUACAAUUCAAUCCACAGGCAACAAAGGAAGCCUUAGCUCUUUCUUUGUCUGAAUUUUUUCCCUCUCAUUUUGUUCUCUUAAAGAAUCAUGGCAGGGCCCAGUUCAAAGUUCACCUUCUUGGUUAUUUUUCCUGAAUAACCCAGGAGAAAUGAGUCACUUCUUUGCCUAUCUUUAUAGCCUUUUUGCAUUUCUAUUAAAGAAUCUAUCACAUUGUGUGUAACCUGAGGGCAGAAGCCACCUUAUUCACCUGGGAAUAGAGCUCAGAGUUCCUGAAUCCCAUUUAGAUCUGCUCUAUGGAGUUGAUGUUCCCUAUGGGGAUAUUCCAGUCACAUGUUCAAAACAAAACAAAACAAAAAACUGUGAGUCUGUAGAUAAAUGAAAACAAUGGGGACUCUGUAUUAUUUAGUUUUCUAUUUUAGGCAUUUUAUCACUAAGAACUACUUUGCAUAAACAGGGUUGUAUCUAAAUGUCUUCCUAUGUGAAGUUCCCAUUUUUGAUUGGCUAUAAUAUUUCAACAUGUAAAAAUAGUGUUUUAAUGUAAAUGCAGUAUAAUUGGGUUUCCCAACCUUGCACUGUUGAUAUUCUAGGCUGGAUUAUUCUUUAGCAGGGGGCUGUCUUGUGUUUUGCAGGAUGUGGAGCAGCACCCCAACCUUUAUCAAACAGAUGCUUCUAGCAUUGCUUAAUUCAGUUGCGACAACCAAAAAAUGUUAGUGUCUCCUGGUGUGUGUGUGUGGCAAAAUUACCCCUAGUUGAGAAGAAUGAGAAUAUUCAUUUAGGGGUUGGAAAUCUUAAAGUUGUAAAAAUCAUCCAAAUUUCUCUUUAUCUUGCUUUCUGUUAAAUACUUUCCUGUGUUGUAAGGCUGCUCUGCUCUGAGACCACUGGCACCGUGAGCAGAUGGCAUGACUUGGCUGUCCCCUGCUCCUGCCUCCGUGCACCUGGGACCUGUGGGUGGCCUCGUUUGCAUGGAGGAAAAAGAUAAUAUCCCUAUUUAUUACAAAGACUCAGGCAUUUGAAGGACCCAACCAAUGGUGUGACAUGUGUGGGCACAUGAACUUCACCUUGGAUGCCCCAGAAGUUUCUAGAGCUGACUUCCUUUAACUAGAAGGAAUAUGACUGUGGUCUUAGAAGAAAGACAUUACCUGGAGGAAGUUGAAAGCCAGCAUGCAGAGAAGGAAGACUACGGAAGGGCUCAGGCAGCUACACAGCUCUGCAGAACAAAAUGUUCUUGUCCAGGCCAUGGGGCCACAGGCUGGGACAGAGGGGAGGAACAAUGAUGUCAUGGAAUGAGAAGGAGUUGGGAACACUAUUGGAAUGAAUGUUCCAUUGAUUACACGAGUUGCUGACAAGCAACAGCAGAAAUGGAGCUGGGUGAUCAGUCUCAAAUUCUCCCCCUGACAUUUGCAAGAAAAGUGGUGAACACAUCCCAGACACCCACUUCCUACCCCCGUUAUGUGUAUGAGGUAAGCGAUCUGGCCUUGGACGUUAAAUCUCCUCUCUUAAUAGACUCCUGGACAUGCCAGAAUGUCUGCUGGGUCUGAAUGUCUUAUUUCAAUGCAGGCUCCCAUCUUUUUUCAGUGUGUUUAAUUAAAAAUAAAUAAAGCAGUCCAUUCGGAGGGCUUUUCCUCCCACUGAUGGAUGAGGCGAGUACUCGGGGACUCUUCAGCAGGGUGGACAGCUUGGCAAAGAUGUCUGUGUCCUAAUCUCUGGGACCCGAGAUUAUGUUACCUUCUGCGGCAAAGGGGAUUUUCCAGAUAUGAUUAAAUUAAGGGUCUUGAGCUGAAGAGAUGAUCCUGGAUUAGCUGGGUGGGUCCUCAGCAGAGGCAGGCACUUGGGGGGGAGGCUGGAGGCAGAGCAAUGAUAAAAGCAGAAGUCCGAAAACGAAAACGCAGCACAACAAACUAAGGAACACGGUGACCUCUAGACGCUGGAAGCAGCAAGGACUCGGAUUCUCCCCUUGAGCCACCAGGAGGAACACAGCCUGCAGCUGCAUCCAGACUUCUGACCUCCAGAACUGCAAGCAAAUAAAAGUAUGUGAUUUGGGGCCACCCCGUUUGUGCUCAUUCACUGCUGCCGCAGCCAGAGAAAACCAACACAGAUUUCCACGUUGAGUCUGGGUUUUCCUUUGAGGCUGUGGCUUUUCCUACUGUGAUCGUAGCUCACAGCUGCUGAGUGGGGACAAUGUGUACCAGAUGCUGAGUAGACAUCAUCUCAGUUCUCCCAGUAACCCUGUGGGCCGGGCACUGGCAUUACCCUUAUUCAGGAGAUGGAGGACUAGGCUUGCAACAGUCUGCUGUAACCAGAGGCGGUUUUGAGCCCCAGGGACACUGAGCAAUGCCUGUAGACAUUCAGAUAGUCACAACCAGGUUUGGGGUGCUCCUGGCAUCUAGUGCAGGAGAAGCCAGGGAUGAAUGACAUGUGUGUGUACACAUGUGCAUAUGGGGUGUGUAUGGGGUUGGUGUGUGGCGUGUGUGUGUGUGUCUGUGUGGUGGGGGCCAGGUUAGGGAGAACAGGGGACCUGGCCUCUGCCUCACUUUCCAUCAUGAUCUGCUCCACUGUCCCCCCAAACUGCCUACAUCAGCAAGAGAUGAGAGAGUUACCAGUGUCAUCCCCCUAAAAUUCUACUUUUUCUCACAUUGAUGUCCCCUAUUUCCUGCCCACUAUUAUUGACUGGCACCUCCUCUCUGUUCUCUUCAUGCCUCCCUCCAUCACUGCCUCAGAGCAUACUUUUCUGAUUGGAUGAGGCCCCUGCCGCCAGCUCCGGUACCGAUACAGGUCUCAGCACCAAUGUACACUGGAAAGUGGAAAGUCUGCCCCACCUGAGCAGUGGCUGAGCAGCUUGCUGUUUGCAAAGUGUCACUGCCGGAAAGAAGUGGAUGGCAAGAUGCAUCCUCUACGGGGAUCAUGACCUGACGUGGCCCUCUCGCCUGGUCACCUGGUUAGGCCAAGUCACCAGACAGUCCCUGUGUUCUCACCUGCAAAUUGGGAGUCACUUACUUGAAAUUAAGUAAGAGAUGGAGGAAUCUGUUCCUCCCUCAGAGAUGCAUGAGGUAUUGUGCCACACUGGCUCCUGGCUUCUGGUGACACUGACAUUUCUGGGAUUGUGGCUGCCUUCCUCCCAUCUCUCCCUCUCUUUGUGUGGCCUUCUCUCUCCCAUGUGUCCGAGGGUCAAAUCUCCCUCUGAUUCUCUCUUAUAAAUACUGAUGCUGUUAGGCCCUGCUGGGGUAACCCAAGAUGAUCCUGUCUCAAGAUCCUUAACUCAACUUUUGCCAUUUAAGGGAACAUUCACUCAUAGAACCCUGAAAUUAGGCAACAGAUAUCUUUGGAGGAUCAUUAUUUCAGCCUAGCACAAGGAGGUAGGUACUUUACACAUCUUUACAUUUCAUAUCAAGCCUAAGAAUAGCUAUUAGUUUUGCUGUUUCACAGAUGAGGAAAUUGAGGCUUGGAGACAUUUACUAUGGAAUUUCAGAAAGUUCAUUCCGUUUCUGAGACACCUUGCCAUUUUCAUCUAUAAAAUGAGAAUCGUGCCCUUCCUGACCUAGGCCAGAUGAAAGUAGAGAAUUUUUAUACAAAUUCUUAGCAAAGUAUUAUGCAUUACAGAGAUGCAAGGGGUUAUUUUUUGCCUUGAGUGGAUUUUCUAGAAAGUCUUCACGUGGGAGAGGAGAGAUGACUUGGCUGAGGAUUGUGAGUGAAAUGCCAAAAUAUUUCUAGAAAUCAUCAGUGUCUUAGAGUGCUGAGUCUUCAUUACAAUAGCAAGUGAAAUUCUGAUGUAGAUGCACUUUAAAACAUUCCCUGUUUGAGGAAUCAUGCCUGGAAGCCACUUCCCAAAGAGAGGCAGCAAGAAAUGCUGAAUUCUUUCAAGUUGAAAGUGGGAGAGAUGGCACAUUUUAUUCUUUAGAAUGCUCCUUCUUCGGCUCAUCCUUCUAGGCAUUCUUAACAGGUAUGUUUGAGUUUGAUUGCAUUUGCACCAGGUGCUGUUCACGUCUGUUAACUCUCUGCAGUUUCUGUCAUCUUGGUAAUAGAGAAAGGAUGGUAGGAGCAGCAAGUGAGUGAGAGGUUGCAUAGGUAAGCAGGAAAUUGACUCCAGGAAGAGAAUGGCAGGCACGACAAAGAACAUUUAGGAGGAAGCUAGACGUCUUUAUCAAAAUUGAUUUUUGACUGGACAGGCCUCUGCUCUGCAUACAUGCUAUAUUUAUACAUCUAGAUCAGAUGUGGAAAACAUGGCCACUCAGGACAGAGCCCGGCCAGCACCACAGCAGACAUCACUAAUCAAUCACAGUGACCCAGCUCUCCAGGCACCCACUGCCAGUCAAUGAGCUCUAUCUAUUGCCUAGUACUAUUGUGCUAGUAGAUAAGCCUAGGACAUAAAUUUCACUGCAUUAAUUAACUUACUUAAUUCAAAAGACUUUUUCACCUGCCGUUGUACCCAAUCUUAAGCUGCUUUUUUACUAUUUUAGUGACGCCUGGUGUGUUUGCAACCCAAUAAUACCAGCUACCAAUUGCUUGCUGUGCACCAAGCUCUGUGGAUUGAAUUCUCACAAAUCAUAGUGUUUUAGUUGACUGAACUUCAUUUGAAUAAGUGGAUUUCGGGGAAUAUGUCUGCUGAGAUACUAAACCUUGAUUGCACUGCAGUGCUGGGAUGGAACCGAGGGCCUCGUGCACAAUGGACAAGUGCUUGACCACGGAGCUCCACCUCAGUCCUUUACUGAGCCUUAGACUUUAUCUUCAUGUGCUCUCUAGACAACUCCUGUGUUAACAUUUGAGGCUUGUAUAGGCCAAGCAUCCCUAAUCUGGAAAUCAAAAGUGCUCCAAAAUCCAAAACUUUCUGAGCACUGACAUGCUGCCAUAGUGGAAGUUCAGUUCCUUGUGGCUACGGAACAGAGACCCUGUGUCGUUGCUGGCUGCUCCCCGCUCCGGGCGGCUGCCCACACUCCUUGUCACACAGUUCCUUCUGCCUUCCAGCCAGCGAUGGCACAUGGGCUCCUCGUUCUCAGAAGCUCUGACUUUUCUGUUGCUGACUUUAGAAGCCUUCAAGGGUGGUCCUGCCAAUCCCUGCCACAGCAGCAGCCGUGUUAGUGUGGUUGUAUGUACAGCCCGGGGCAGGAACUCUCACAGGCAGGCUUAGAAGUCUGCCUCCCGCAAGGCUUUUGACCUAAGUGUUAGACCAGGUCUUUUGCUGACCCUGACUUCAAAAUGUUUGAAUGCACAGUUGUGCAAGGAGUUCCCAUAUUGUGGCUGACAUUGAAGAAGAGUUGUUUAAGGUGCGACAUUCUGCAGAUCUAUGGGUACUGCCUACACUGCCUCGUGCUGUUGAUUACUGCAUUGAUGGCUUCAGAAGCUCUCCACGUGUUGAUCAAGACCUUGUUGAACCUUGACAGAGUGAUAAAUUGCAUGCUUGUUUCCCCUCAUGAUUUCGUGGCUCUUUUGAAAGACUACCCCCUUGAUGUGCCCAGGAAAAUUUCCUUUGAUGUGCUAAGUCUGGACAGUUGAGCUUUUAAGGAAUCUAAAGCAGAGAAAAUGAGUACCUGCCCAUCCUGAUGCAGGCUGGCCUCUGUGUUUUCUGCUUGUGGUGAACCUGGGCUGCAAAAAUGGUUUUUAUUCUCAGCCAUCUGGUUCCUCUCACCUGUCAAAUAGCCCAGCUCUCAGAUUCUGACACAAGAAUAAAUUGCCCCCUUGUUAUGUUAAGUAAAAGAAACUAAAGUGUGAAGGAAAACGCCUUUGAAAGAGAGGCCAAGGAAGGAGUUCCUAUUGCCAAGAUUGGUCAAAAGUGGCUGGAAAUCUCUCUCUUUCAAUGCAGCGGGUUUUGACUGGUAUAAAACAGCAUUUUCCAGCAUGUGUCUCUGGGAAACCAGUUUUAUCUGAUGAGUAAUGGGUGUGAGGAGGAAAAGAUUCUCCCGUCACACAGGUUCACCAUGCUACCUCCGUAUCAAUCUCCUGAGGUGAAAUACGAUUGGCUGUGAUCUACAAACCCAUGUAGGGGCUGAUGCUCCUCUGGUUUCCUGUGAAAGAAAUAUUUACAAGAUAAGGGAUCCAAGGAGCACACUUCAGGAAGGGCAGCGUUGAAGGAUAGCUAUGACUUUGAGAAAGUAGGCAUGGGCAGUUGGCGAAUCUGUGUCGCCAAUCCACAGAUGAACCCGUCUCCACAUUUGAGGAGGAACAGAGUCGGAUUGUAGAUGCACACUUGGUGUGUCUUAAAUAUUUCUCAGUAAAAUUAUUUCUUACACUCUUUAUUGACUAUUGAUAUCAUUCUCAGUUUGAGGGUCCCCAAAGUAACCUCAGAGCCUUCAGUAAUAAUUUUCUAUCUAGAGAAUGGUGAAGAGAAUGAAAUGAAUAUUUUGAUUAUGACAUGGGUGCUUUUGGUAUCUUUAUCCUAUUUAAAUUUUGCAAUAACCCUGCUGAUGUAAGGGCUACGACCUGCAGCUCAUAAAUGAAGAUGUGGAAGAUCAGAGAGGUUAAGCAGUUUGCAGAAGGUCACACAGCCUGUAAGUGCCAGCAGGCAUUUGGAGCCAGGAACCCCUGACUUCAAGGCCCCUCCUCUUUCUCAUAUACCACUCUGUUCUUCUGCCCUCAUCAAUGGUAUAUUUUAAUUUGUGUGAUGAGCGAGUGCACUAAAAGUUGGAUGCAGCUCCACCAUUUCAAACUGUUUUAUUUUCCAU
RNAcentral lists this long non-coding RNA (9500 nucleotides) under Heterocephalus glaber (naked mole-rat). RNAcentral describes it as "lncRNA (ENSHGLG00000038004.1)". The record is from RNAcentral. Lineage: Eukaryota; Metazoa; Chordata; Mammalia; Rodentia; Bathyergidae.